GUUGAGUUGCGUAAUAGCGGAUUCGUAGGUCAAUAAAUCGUUGGAUUUGAAAUCGAACUCUCUACCUUGGGCGGAUAGGAAUUGAGACUUUCAAUGGUCCGCUCUUCUCUCCUCGUGAUCGAAGCUGACCCCAGAAGUUGGGUAUUCCUUCUUAAGAGGACACUAACCCUCCCGAUCUUGCUAGCCGGGGGCUCAGUCUUUCAAGAUUCUUUCCCCCUUUGGGAUAGUCACUUCCGCAUUGGGGGUUUGGCCGUACUCCCUUUGCUCGAGUUACUCACUGGACGGAUUCCACUCCGUUCUUCGUUGCAGAACUACGUUCCUUUCCUCUUUUCAGAACUCAAAACAAAAGUGAGUUAUUCCUAUCUCUUAAAGAGAGCCGCUUAUCGAAUAAAUAAUCAAUAAAUCAUCAACUAUUUCACCGGGGAUGAUAUUCUAUUAAGUUCUAUCACAUCGGAUUCUAGUAAAGAGAUGGGCCUUCUCGUCUGAUCUCUGCAUCAACAGGAAUGCGGGAAAAGCUUCUUCUUCCGC
RNAcentral lists this long non-coding RNA (528 nucleotides) under Nicotiana benthamiana. RNAcentral's name for it is "long non-coding RNA (NBEN_LNC004732)". The record is from RNAcentral. Lineage: Eukaryota; Viridiplantae; Streptophyta; Magnoliopsida; Solanales; Solanaceae.